RNAcentral lists this ribosomal RNA (468 nucleotides) under uncultured bacterium. RNAcentral describes it as "partial 16S ribosomal RNA". It matches the Rfam family "Bacterial small subunit ribosomal RNA", at positions 28 to 507 of the family's 1533-position model. The record is from RNAcentral.
GACGAACGCUGGCGGCGUGCUUAACACAUGCAAGUCGAACGGAAAGGCCCUGCUUUUGUGGGGUGCUCGAGUGGCGAACGGGUGAGUAACACGUGAGUAACCUGCCCUUGACUUUGGGAUAACUUCAGGAAACUGGGGCUAAUACCGGAUAGGAGCUCCUGCUGCAUGGUGGUGGUUGGAAAGUUUCGGCGGUUGGGGAUGGACUCGCGGGUUAUCAGCUUGUUGGUGGGGGAGUGGCUUACCAAGGGAUUGACGGGUAGCCGGCCUGAGAGGGUGAACGGCCACAUUGGGACUGAGAUACGGCCCAGACUCCUACGGGAGGCAGCAGUGGGGAAUAUUGCACAAUGGGCGGAAGCGUGAUGCAGCAACGCCGCGUGUGGGAUGACGGCCUUCGGGUUGUAAACCGCUUUAGCCUGUGACGAAGCGUGAGUGACGGUAAUGGGUAAAGAAGCACCGGCUAACUACGUG